UCAAUACUCCCUCUGUCUAACAAAGGAUGUCUCAACUUUGACUAAAUUUGUGCAUCUAUACACUAAGUCACAUCUAGGUGCAUCCAAAUUUUGACAAACUUGAGACAUCUUUUGUUGGACGGAGGGAGUAUUUG
This is a non-coding RNA of Brachypodium distachyon (stiff brome), 134 nucleotides long. Lineage: Eukaryota; Viridiplantae; Streptophyta; Magnoliopsida; Poales; Poaceae. The record is from Rfam.